This 302-nucleotide long non-coding RNA is filed under the name Rattus norvegicus (Norway rat). Its description in RNAcentral is "long non-coding RNA NONRATT007119". The record is from RNAcentral. Lineage: Eukaryota; Metazoa; Chordata; Mammalia; Rodentia; Muridae.
UGCAUUCUGCGCUUUUUCGAGAAUGUCCCUGCUCCUCCGGAGAACUGUGGGUGGAGAAUGGAAUUUGGUCUAGCCUUGACCAGAGGCGGGAAGCUGGUCCUGUCCUCAGGGUCUCAUAUUGUUGGUGCAGGACCAACUAUAUACUGCACCUAUUUUCUCUUUUAUGAAGGCUAUAAACUUGUUCAAUAUGCAGAGUCCAAAGAAUCAGGAGCAAAUAACGGAUGAUGAAGACACUGAGGAGGAGAAAGAAGAUAAAAAUAAGGGACAACCUAUUACAUUCAUUUUUUCCCCUCCCUGUUUAA